Drosophila sechellia is the source of this 88-nucleotide non-coding RNA. The record is from Rfam. NCBI's taxonomy places the organism in Eukaryota, Metazoa, Arthropoda, Insecta, Diptera, Drosophilidae.
AAUCCUUUCUUGAUGACAACUUCAUACCAAACUCAGAGAAACUAUGUUGAAAUCUUUUUAACAUGCAUCACCAUCUGAUUAAAAAUUU